GCUCUAACACUAUCAGCCUUCACGGCGGCGGAUUGACUAGGGCUCUCUAGACCGCGGGCAUGCAGUCUUUCUUAGCAUAUAGAGGGGAGGUGUUCUUUAACGCCAAUCAGUAUUUUGGUAUAAUUCUCUGCCAAUGAAUUGUUGACAUCUGUCCAUGGCUGCUGAUCACCGAAGAAAAAGGCGUAAUGGUGCCAGCAUUGCAGGUUGCAGUUCUUGGGAGCAAUACAAAACCAAAAAGAAAAAAUUGGAAUCACCAAAAAAUGAGUUUAAUGUAAAGUCUCAUAUUUCUCUGGAGUGGGAUGGCAACCGAAAAGAGGUUGUUGCCAAAAGGGAACAAAUUGGC
Molecule: unclassified non-coding RNA, 343 nt
Filed under: Hevea brasiliensis (rubber tree)
Lineage: Eukaryota; Viridiplantae; Streptophyta; Magnoliopsida; Malpighiales; Euphorbiaceae
Source: RNAcentral